AUCCUCAACCUGGCAACUGCCGCGAGCACCACCAUCACAGACAACCCAAAUCUGCCUCUAUUCUUCACUCUCUAUCGCGGCAAACACCCCUUUCAACAGCCGCAAGCAUCCCCUUCCUUUGACACAACCACCGCAAAUCCCAGUUUUUUGACAGGUUAAAAACCCUUUCCUCCUUUAUCUGCUUUUUUUCUACUUUUCUGAACACAGACCCGUAAGUGAAAACUUUUCGACAUCUAAUUUCACUUUUCUGCACCAAUUCAAGUUAGGAGUAUACUUUACAUCACUUUUCUGGCCAAUUGCUCCAUAUAUAAGGCCCUCCAAUUCAGAUUUUUUGUGGCAAAAUACGAAAGCACCACCGGCAGGGAGGAACAAGAAGAGGAAGUAGUCGCUCUAAUCGAACACCGCACCCAUGAAGUCGAAAACAUCCACAAACGCAUCGCUUAUUACCAAUCUCAGCUUGAGGAGGCAGAGAAAAGGUUGCAGGAUUCUGAAUCAAACCAGCCAAUGCAGUUUCGUCUAGGAAAAAUAACAGCUUGGAUAAUGGGAUUAAACCGGUGAAGAUGGACUGGCGAUCAAGCAGUCCUGUUGAUAGGAAUGAAGUUUUUUUCCAUGUGAUACUAAUUUAGUUUUAAUGAAGUUCGAAAAAUGUGCUAAAGUUUUGGAACAUGUUGUCAGUCCUCGAGGUGCUAAUUGGAUGCACAUUUUAUAUCAGGUUUGCCUCUUACCUCUUUCCUGAACACAUUUUAUAUAGUUGCAUAUGUAUAAAACUAUAAAAUCAAUUUGAAGCUUAGUCUUUUCAACAACAUCUUUCAAAUUUAUCUCUUAUAUUCUAUGCUCUGUUUAUUUGAUUCAUUGACUUCAUUCAUUAUAUUUGAUUCAGAGGAAUGUAAUUUUUCAUACAAGUUGCAGGCAUAUAUCCAACCACUAUAGUGCUACUUAAAUAAUCUUAUUUAUCAUGCAUAAAACUAUAAUUUUUACUUCAGCCUCAUCUUUCUGUAUUGCAGGUUGACGUGCUACCAUUUUGCCCUGGUGAAUUUUGAGAUACUCUUUCAAGAAGUACUGAUGUAUCUUAAUGAUGCUUCUCCUUAUGUCUGUCUAAUUGGCCAAUUGUUGUCUUUAUUACUUUGAAUAUCAUUUCCUUCAUUACUAAAUGAUUUAGAAAU
Molecule: long non-coding RNA, 1163 nt
Organism: Lotus japonicus
Lineage: Eukaryota; Viridiplantae; Streptophyta; Magnoliopsida; Fabales; Fabaceae
Exons: 3
Source: RefSeq, a predicted model, not a curated record